Molecule: non-coding RNA, 58 nt
Organism: Ictidomys tridecemlineatus (thirteen-lined ground squirrel)
Lineage: Eukaryota; Metazoa; Chordata; Mammalia; Rodentia; Sciuridae
Source: Rfam
UAGCUCAGUUGGUAGAGUGCUUGCCUUGCAUGCACAAGGCCCUGGGUUCGAUCCCCAG